Molecule: ribosomal RNA, 497 nt
Filed under: uncultured bacterium
Lineage: Bacteria
Description: partial 16S ribosomal RNA
Rfam family: Bacterial small subunit ribosomal RNA
Source: RNAcentral
GAUGAACGCUGGCGGCGUGCCUAAUACAUGCAAGUCGAGCGAACGGACGAGAAGCUUGCUUCUCUGAUGUUAGCGGCGGACGGGUGAGUAACACGUGGAUAACCUACCUAUAAGACUGGGAUAACUUCGGGAAACCGGAGCUAAUACCGGAUAAUAUUUUGAACCGCAUGGUUCAAAAGUGAAAGACGGUCUUGCUGUCACUUAUAGAUGGAUCCGCGCUGCAUUAGCUAGUUGGUAAGGUAACGGCUUACCAAGGCAACGAUGAAUAGCCGACCUGAGAGGGUGAUCGGCCACACUGGAACUGAGACACGCUCCAGACUCCUACGGGAGGCAGAAGAAGGGAAUCUUCCGCAAUGGGCGAAAGCCUAACGGAGCAACGCCGCGUGAGUGAUGAAGGUCUCCGGAUCGUAAACCCCUGUUAUUAGGGAAGAACAUAUGUGUAAUUAACUGUGCACACUUUGACGGUACCUAAUCAGAAAGCCACGGCUAACUACGUG